Long non-coding RNA from Mesocricetus auratus (golden hamster), 846 nucleotides. RefSeq lists it as uncharacterized. Lineage: Eukaryota; Metazoa; Chordata; Mammalia; Rodentia; Cricetidae. The record is from RefSeq and is a predicted model, not a curated record. The transcript has 2 exons.
ACCAGCAGCCAGCACAUUCGGUCCACCAGCGCAUUCAGCGCAGGGACUUCAACCAAUUGAUGGCUGCUCCUGUCAACUUGACAGUAUCUAGAAUCAGCCGUAAGAUAGGCCUUUGUAGAUGAUAAAGGCAUCCCAGAGAGGUCUGGGGGAGUGCCUGCCCGGACGGUGGGUGGCACCUUCCAAUUGCCCUUUUCUUCCUGGUGGCAUGUGUCUAUAGCUCCCGUGGACUCUGACUUCUGCCUCAGUACGGACUGAACAUCAGUGGCUCUCCAGGAAUCGUCCAGCAUCACUUGGGACAGCCGAGGCAUUGGGUUUUGUGCUGAGCAGCUCCGAGGUUUUCUGCCCCUUCAACGUGCAGAAGGCGAUUGUGGGGAGACCUAGCCCUAUCCUGCAAGCCCAUCUAAUAACACGCUGUUGUGGGUUAUUUAUUUGUACACUGUGUGAAGAUGUAUUGCUGUGACUGGCGUAAUAAAAGGCUACGCAGCAGAGUAUGGGCGGGGCUUCUGGGCAGAGAAAGGUCUCUGGGAAGAAGAAAGGCGGUGUCACUGGACAGAGGAAGCAGGAUGGGCAGUAUGGAGCAUGGAGGUUAGGUAGCGAGCCAUGCGGAAGAACACAGAUGCUCAAAUACGGGUUACUUUAAGCUAUGAAGACGAGGUUUGCCGAUAGAAUGAGUCACGUGGCAUGGUAAGCCUGAGACCAUGAUUUCUUUGCUGGAUGUUACCCUGGGUCAACUCUGAGCUCCUAAAAAGCUGCCUGCACCCCUUGGCGUGUGGCCUCUCCUGCCUCAAGCAGGCGACUGCACGUAAACCUUGGCCUGUGCUUCAAAUCCACAGUUUCUCUCUCUGA